This 253-nucleotide ribosomal RNA is filed under the name uncultured bacterium. RNAcentral describes it as "partial 16S ribosomal RNA". It matches the Rfam family "Bacterial small subunit ribosomal RNA", at positions 524 to 776 of the family's 1533-position model. The record is from RNAcentral.
GACGUAGGGCGCGAGCGUUGUCCGGAUUUAUUGGGCGUAAAGAGCUCGUAGGCGGCUUGUCGCGUCGUCCGUGAAAACUCGGGGCUCAACCCCGAGCUUGCGGUCGAUACGGGCAGGCUAGAGUUCGGUAGGGGAGACUGGAAUUCCUGGUGUAGCGGUGAAAUGCGCAGAUAUCAGGAGGAACACCGGUGGCGAAGGCGGGUCUCUGGGCCGAUACUGACACUGAGGAGCGAAAGCGUGGGGAGCGAACAGG